AGUGAACGCUGGCGGUAGGCCUAACACAUGCAAGUCGAACGGCAGCACAGUAAGAGCUUGCUCUUACGGGUGGCGAGUGGCGGACGGGUGAGGAAUACAUCGGAAUCUACUUUUUCGUGGGGGAUAACGUAGGGAAACUUACGCUAAUACCGCAUACGACCUACGGGUGAAAGCAGGGGAUCUUCGGACCUUGCGCGAUUGAAUGAGCCGAUGUCGGAUUAGCUAGUUGGCGGGGUAAAGGCCCACCAAGGCGACGAUCCGUAGCUGGUCUGAGAGGAUGAACAGCCGCAUGGGAAAUGAGAAGCGCACCAGCCUCCUAGGGGAGGCGGAAGUGGGGAAUAGUGGACAAUGGGCGGACGCCGUACCCAGCAAUCCGGGGUGGGGGAAGAGGGCCUUCGGUUUGAAAGGCCCUUUUGUGGGAAAAAAAAAGCAGCGGUUUAAUACCCCGUUGUUGGGACGGUCCCAAAAAAAAAGACCCCGGCUAACUUCGUG
This 492-nucleotide ribosomal RNA is filed under the name uncultured bacterium. Its description in RNAcentral is "partial 16S ribosomal RNA". It matches the Rfam family "Bacterial small subunit ribosomal RNA", at positions 29 to 507 of the family's 1533-position model. The record is from RNAcentral.